AGUUCGUAGGGAACCUGCGGAAGGAUCAUUA
This 31-nucleotide ribosomal RNA is filed under the name Tubifex smirnowi. RNAcentral describes it as "partial 18S ribosomal RNA". The record is from RNAcentral. Lineage: Eukaryota; Metazoa; Annelida; Clitellata; Tubificida; Naididae.